CCUUAGAGUUUGUUCCUGGCUCAGGAUGAACGCUAGCUACAGGCUUAACACAUGCAAGUCGUGGGGCAGCAUGAGGUCAGCUUGCUGACUUUGAUGGCGACCGGCGCACGGGUGAGUAACGCGUAUCCAACCUGCCCUAUACUCAGGGACAGCCCGUCGAAAGGUGGAUUAAUACCUGAUGUUAUUGUUUGAAGGCAUCUGAUGACAAUCAAAGAUUUAUCGGUAUGGGAUGGGGAUGCGUCUGAUUAGCUUGUCGGCGGGGUAACGGCCCACCGAGGCGACGAUCAGUAGGGGUUCUGAGAGGAAGGUCCCCCACACUGGAACUGAGACACGGUCCAGACUCCUACGGGAGGCAGCAGUGAGGAAUAUUGGUCAAUGGAUGAGAAUCUGAACCAGCCAAGUAGCGUGCAGGAUGACGGCCCUAUGGGUUGUAAACUGCUUUUAUACGGGAAUAAAUGACGACACGUGUGUUGUUUUGUAGGUACCGUAUGAAUAAGGACCGGCUAACUCCGUGCCAGCAGCCGCGGUAAUACGGAGAAUGCGAGCGUUAUCCGGAUUUAUUGGGUUUAAAGGGUGCGUAGGCGGACUGUCAAGUCAGCGGUAAAAUACGGGGGCUCAACCUCCGCCCGCCGUUGAAACUGACGGUCUUGAGUGGGCGAGAAGUAUGCGGAAUGCGUGGUGUAGCGGUGAAAUGCAUAGAUAUCACGCAGAACUCCGAUUGCGAAGGCAGCAUACCGGCGCCCAACUGACGCUGAAGCACGAAAGCGUGGGUAUCGAACAGGAUUGGAUACCCUGGUAGUCCACGCAGUAAACGAUGAAUACUAGCUGUCCGGGGCGAAUGAGCCCUGGGUGGCACAGCGAAAGCGUUAAGUAUUCCACCUGGGGAGUACGCCGGCAACGGUGAAACUCAAAGGAAUUGACGGGGGCCCGCACAAGCGGAGGAACAUGUGGUUUAAUUCGAUGAUACGCGAGGAACCUUACCCGGGCUCAAACGACACAGGAACGGUCCUGAAAGGGGUCGGCUCUACGGAGCCUGUGUCGAGGUGCUGCAUGGUUGUCGUCAGCUCGUGCCGUGAGGUGUCGGCUUAAGUGCCAUAACGAGCGCAACCCCCAUCGACAGUUGCUAACAGGUUAGGCUGAGGACUCUGUCGAGACUGCCGGCGCAAGCUGCGAGGAAGGCGGGGAUGACGUCAAAUCAGCACGGCCCUUACGUCCGGGGCGACACACGUGUUACAAUGGCAGGUACAGCGGGAAGCCACCUGGCGACAGGGAGCGGAACCCGAAAGCCUGUCUCAGUUCGGAUUGGAGUCUGCAACCCGACUCCAUGAAGCUGGAUUCGCUAGUAAUCGCGCAUCAGCCACGGCGCGGUGAAUACGUACCCGGGCCUUGCACUCACCGCCCGUCAAG
This 1407-nucleotide ribosomal RNA is filed under the name uncultured bacterium. RNAcentral's name for it is "bacterial SSU rRNA". It matches the Rfam family "Bacterial small subunit ribosomal RNA". The record is from RNAcentral.